AAUACGUUCCCGGGCCUUGUACACACCGCCCGUCAAACAAUGGAAGUCAGGAGAACCUAAAGUCGAUAACCGCAAGGAGUCGCCUAAGGUUAAUCUGAUAACUGGUGUU
Molecule: ribosomal RNA, 109 nt
Filed under: uncultured bacterium
Lineage: Bacteria
Description: partial 16S ribosomal RNA
Rfam family: Bacterial small subunit ribosomal RNA
Source: RNAcentral